Molecule: ribosomal RNA, 451 nt
Filed under: uncultured bacterium
Lineage: Bacteria
Description: partial 16S ribosomal RNA
Rfam family: Bacterial small subunit ribosomal RNA
Source: RNAcentral
AGCGAACGCUGGCGGCAGGCCUAACACAUGCAAGUCGAGCGGGCACCGCAAGGUGUCAGCGGCAGACGGGAGAGCAACACGUGGGAACGUGUCCUUCGGUCCGGAAUAACUCGGGGAAACCCGUGCUAAUACCGGAUACGACCUUACGGGGAUAGAUUUAUCGCCGAUGGAGCGGCCGGCGACUGAUUAGCUAGUUGGUGAAGUAAUGGCUCACCAAGGCGACGAUCAGUAGCUGGUCUGAGAGGAUGAUCAGCCUCACUGGGACUGAGACACGGCACAGACUCCUACGGGAGGCAGCAGGGGGGAAUAUUGGACAAUGGGCGCAAGCCUGAUCCAGCCAGGCCGCGUGGAUGAUGAAGGCCUUAGGGUUGUAAAGUCCUUUUAACGGGGAAGAUAAUGACGGUACCCGUAGAAUAAGCCCCGGCUAACUUCGUGCCAGCAGCCGCCGUAA